RNAcentral lists this long non-coding RNA (262 nucleotides) under Triticum aestivum (bread wheat). Its description in RNAcentral is "long non-coding RNA (TAES_LNC007634)". Lineage: Eukaryota; Viridiplantae; Streptophyta; Magnoliopsida; Poales; Poaceae. The record is from RNAcentral.
AAGAGCAUUGCCCCUAUUCCCAUACGCCAGGAGACGAGGGAUAUUCACAGAGAAACGAUCGCCACUUUGACAGGCGGCCUUCGAGCAACGAGAGAUCUCGGCAUGACAGGCGGCCUUCGAGCAACGAGAGACCUCAGCAUGAUAGGCGGCCUUCGAGCAACGAGAGACCUCAGCAUGACAGGCAAAACGAUAAACAUUUUGAUCGUCAAGCGUCAGGCAGCGAGAGGCAGCAGGAUAGGCCCGACAGCAGGCAGAGUGGCUG